UGGCUUAGUGGUAAAGAAUCUGCCUGCAAUGCAGGAGAUACAGGUUCAAUCCCUGG
RNAcentral lists this transfer RNA (56 nucleotides) under Ovis aries (sheep). It matches the Rfam family "tRNA", at positions 8 to 63 of the family's 71-position model. From Rfam's summary of the family: Transfer RNA (tRNA) molecules are approximately 80 nucleotides in length. Lineage: Eukaryota; Metazoa; Chordata; Mammalia; Artiodactyla; Bovidae. The record is from Rfam by way of RNAcentral.